CUGGAGGUUGAUGGACUAAAUCUACUAAUUUAAGUGGUGGACUUAAGUUUGACAGUUUCUUGUACUGGAUUACAGUUCUAUAAGGAUACUUCCACCCUUCUGACUCUCUUUACAUGUGCUCAGAUAGCAGCGAUAUUGAAAAAUGCAGGGUAUCUGAGCAGGAGUUACUGAACAGCCAAAAUGCAUUCCUGAAUUUGGUAAGGCUGAACCAGAUCAGAUCAAAAUCUCUGGGAUACCUUUUCUGAUUUUCAUCUGGAGAGUGGAAGCUAAUGACAACAGUUGCACCUCAAUCCUCCUUGAGGAUGUCCUUCUUGGAUAGAAACAUAAAAAACCUACAGCACAAUACAGGCCCUUUGGCUCACAAAGUUUAUGGAUGUUGCCAUAAAAACUGAAGAUAAAAACCUGCCUGAUGAAAAUCUAAACUAAAAUACUGAAGAUACUCAGGCAGCAUCUAAGAUAACAGAAACGAUGCUGUCUGAACUGCUGAGAUCCUCUACCAUUUUGUGUGAGUUGCCCUGGAGUUCCA
Hypanus sabinus (Atlantic stingray) is the source of this 526-nucleotide long non-coding RNA. RefSeq lists it as uncharacterized. The record is from RefSeq and is a predicted model, not a curated record. The transcript is spliced from 3 exons. Lineage: Eukaryota; Metazoa; Chordata; Chondrichthyes; Myliobatiformes; Dasyatidae.